Molecule: ribosomal RNA, 440 nt
Filed under: uncultured bacterium
Lineage: Bacteria
Description: partial 16S ribosomal RNA
Rfam family: Bacterial small subunit ribosomal RNA
Source: RNAcentral
CUACGGGUCGCUGCAGUAAGGAAUAUUGCACAAUGGGGGAAACCCUGAUGCAGCAACGCCGCGUGGACGAAGAAGGCCUUCGGGUCGUAAAGUCCUUUUCUGAGGGAAGAGGAAGGACGGUACCUCAGGAAUAAGUCUCGGCUAACUACGUGCCAGCAGCCGCGGUAAAACGUAGGAGGCGAGCGUUAUCCGGAUUCACUGGGCGUAAAGGGCAAGUAGGCGGUUGUUUAAGUUAGGUGUGACAUCUCUCGGCUUAACUGGGAGGGAGCGCUUAAAACUAGGCAACUAGAGGGCGGAAGAAGGGGGUAGAACUCCAAAUGUAGCGGUGGAAUGCUCAGAUAUUUGGAAGAAUACCAGUGGCGAAGGCGACCCCCCGGUCCGUGCCUGACGCUGAGAGGCGAAAGCUAGGGUAGCGAACGGGAUUAGAUACCCCUGUAGUC